CGGGGCGUAGCGUAGUGGCUAGCGCGUCUGCUUUGGGAGCAGAAGACCGUGGGUUCGAGUCCCUCCGCCCCGACCA
Molecule: transfer RNA, 76 nt
Filed under: Actinomycetales bacterium
Lineage: Bacteria; Bacillati; Actinomycetota; Actinomycetes; Actinomycetales
Also listed under: 2 other names
Description: tRNA-Pro
Rfam family: tRNA
About the family: Transfer RNA (tRNA) molecules are approximately 80 nucleotides in length. Their secondary structure includes four short double-helical elements and three loops (D, anti-codon, and T loops). Further hydrogen bonds mediate the characteristic L-shaped molecular structure. tRNAs have two regions of fundamental functional importance: the anti-codon, which is responsible for specific mRNA codon recognition, and the 3' end, to which the tRNAs corresponding amino acid is attached (by aminoacyl-tRNA synthetases). tRNAs cope with the degeneracy of the genetic code in two manners: having more than one tRNA (with a specific anti-codon) for a particular amino acid; and 'wobble' base-pairing, i.e. permitting non-standard base-pairing at the 3rd anti-codon position.
Source: RNAcentral